Molecule: long non-coding RNA, 746 nt
Filed under: Equus caballus (horse)
Lineage: Eukaryota; Metazoa; Chordata; Mammalia; Perissodactyla; Equidae
Description: lncRNA (ENSECAG00000056915.1)
Source: RNAcentral
UUUAAUAAGCAAGAGAACAAACUUACCUCCAAGCCUGUCUUCAACAACCGCAAGAUGAGUGGAUCUCCGCAUUGCACGCCAGAAUCUUAUAGUUUACAUAGAGGUCUAGACGGGGUUCAGUCACGAAUGUAGUCCAGAUGGUCUCAAUAACACGUGCUCUCUCAAGGCUGCUCCUUGAAGAGGCUCCCCUGUGGGAAUGGUGGGAGGAGCUUACAUUCCCAGGACGCGGGAGGCAGGUAAGGAGCGUCCAGUAGCCAGGGUCCCAAGAUUGGUCGAUCCAGCUCACAGGUGAACCUGCUUUCAUGUCCUCUAGAUGACCUCCUGCAACAAGGUUUUAGGGCCAAACAGAUUAACUGGGACUGAAAUUGUAUGACUCCAGAGCUGCCUUCUGUGUUCUGCUUUGGAAAUGGAGAAUCCACUGGAAGAGGGAAAAGUGGAUUCAGGAGACUAACUAAUAUUCCAGAAGAUAGAUGGAGAUAUUUUAAUAUUUCAACAAUCAGGAUGCAUCUUGAAGUGAAUAUCAUCAGGAACUUUACAGCUACCAGUAAGAAGACAAAAAUGAUUUUAGCCUAAUUCUUCUUAAUAAAUGGCAAUUUUUUGAAGUCUGAGACAGACAGGUGUGAACUAUUCAUGCUUCCAAAUAAUCACCAGAAUCUUGCAAGAAUAUGUAAUAAAAUUUGGAAAUACAGGGGAAGGGGAGGGCGAUACAGGUUUAACCGAAUUUAAAGAGCAAUACACACAAAUCC